GUCUGUAGGUGGCUUUUUAAGUCCGCCGUCUAAUCCCAGGGAUCGACCAUGGACAUUUGGUGGAAACUAUCAAGUUGGAGUAUGGUAGGGGCAAAGGGAAUUUCCGGUGGGGUGGUGAAAUGCGUAGAGAUCGGAAAGAACACCAACGGUGAAAGCACUUUGCUGGGUUGACACUGGUAGACGAAAGCUAGGGGAGCAAAUGGGAUUAGAUACCCCAAUAGUCCUAGCCGUAAAAGAUGGAUACUAGGCGUAUCGACCCGUGCAGUGUUGUAGCUAACACGUUUU
This is a non-coding RNA of Beta vulgaris subsp. vulgaris (sugar beet), 285 nucleotides long. The record is from Rfam. Lineage: Eukaryota; Viridiplantae; Streptophyta; Magnoliopsida; Caryophyllales; Amaranthaceae.